RNAcentral lists this ribosomal RNA (497 nucleotides) under uncultured bacterium. RNAcentral describes it as "partial 16S ribosomal RNA". It matches the Rfam family "Bacterial small subunit ribosomal RNA", at positions 28 to 507 of the family's 1533-position model. The record is from RNAcentral.
GAUGAACGCUGGCGGCGUGCCUAAUACAUGCAAGUCGAGCGAACAGACGAGGCGCUUGCUCCUCUGACGUUAGCGGCGGACGGGUGAGUAACACGUGGAUAACCUACCUAUAAGACUGGGAUAACUUCGGGAAACCGGAGCUAAUACCGGAUAAUAUAUUGAACCGCAUGGUUCAAUAGUGAAAGACGGUUUUGCUGUCACUUAUAGAUGGAUCCUCGCCGCAUUAGCUAGUUGGUAAGGUAACGGCUUACCAAGGCAACGAUGCGUAGCCGACCUGAGAGGGUGAUCGGCCACACUGGAACUGAGACACGGUCCAGACUCCUACGGGAGGCAGCAGUAGGGAAUCUUCCGCAAUGGGCGAAAGCCUGACGGAGCAACGCCGCGUGAGUGAUGAAGGUCUUCGGAUCGUAAAACUCUGUUAUUAGGGAAGAACAAAUGUGUAAGUAACUAUGCACGUCUUGACGGUACCUAAUCAGAAAGCCACGGCUAACUACGUG